Molecule: long non-coding RNA, 390 nt
Organism: Oreochromis aureus
Lineage: Eukaryota; Metazoa; Chordata; Actinopteri; Cichliformes; Cichlidae
Source: Ensembl
GUUUAUAGAGAGACGAGACGACGAGGCUCCAGUUCAUUCAGCGCAAAGACAGCAAUAAAUAUACACUUUAAGACUAAGCUUUACAAAUCAAACCAGUUCAAGUUUCAGCAACCUCAUUCCUGCAAUUUGUUGACACAUAAAAGUUGACCUCUGACCUUGAUGUCAAGGUCAUCGGUUUUUAAACUUGUUUGAGAUUAUAAGUAGAUGCACCUAUAACAUCAACUUGAAAAAGCUACAUAGCCUCAUUCUCGAGUUGUCACAUUCACAGAGUGUCCACGCUGCCCACUGGUGAUGAAUAUCAGUCUUUUAUGGCUGAUGAUAAAAACAGUGGCAGCUACAGUAGUAGGAAAUGUACAGGAGAAGCUAAUGGCAAUAGAUGCAGGAUGCACU